This 160-nucleotide ribosomal RNA is filed under the name uncultured Thermotogae bacterium. Its description in RNAcentral is "partial 16S ribosomal RNA". It matches the Rfam family "Bacterial small subunit ribosomal RNA", at positions 335 to 487 of the family's 1533-position model. Lineage: Bacteria; Thermotogati; Thermotogota; Thermotogae. The record is from RNAcentral.
ACUCCUACGGGAGGCAGCAGUGGGGAAUUUUGGACAAUGGGCGAAAGCCUGAUCCAGCGACGCCGCGUGAGGGACGAAGCCCUUCGGGGUGUAAACCUCUGUUGUGAGGGACGAAUAAGAUCUGGAGGAAAUGCCAGAUCGAUGACGGUACCUCACGAGA